GACGAACGCUGGCGGCGUGCCUAAUACAUGCAAGUCGAACGAGAGCGACCGGUGCUUGCACUGGUCAAUCUAGUGGCGAACGGGUGAGUAACACGUGGGUAACCUGCCCAUCAGAGGGGGAUAACAUCCGGAAACGGAUGCUAAAACCGCAUAGGUCUUCGAACCGCAUGGUUUGAAGAGGAAAAGAGGCGCAAGCUUCUGCUGAUGGAUGGACCCGCGGUGCAUUAGCUAGUUGGUGAGGUAACGGCUCACCAAGGCCGUGAUGCAUAGCCGACCUGAGAGGGUGAUCGGCCACAUUGGGACUGAGACACGGCCCAAACUCCUACGGGAGGCAGCAGUAGGGAAUCUUCCGCAAUGGACGCAAGUCUGACGGAGCAACGCCGCGUGAGUGAAGAAGGUUUUCGGAUCGUAAAACUCUGUUGUUAGAGAAGAACAAGUGCUAGAGUAACUGUUAGCGCCUUGACGGUAUCUAACCAGAAAGCCUCGGCUAACUACGUG
Molecule: ribosomal RNA, 498 nt
Filed under: uncultured bacterium
Lineage: Bacteria
Description: partial 16S ribosomal RNA
Rfam family: Bacterial small subunit ribosomal RNA
Source: RNAcentral